RNAcentral lists this ribosomal RNA (253 nucleotides) under uncultured bacterium. Its description in RNAcentral is "partial 16S ribosomal RNA". It matches the Rfam family "Bacterial small subunit ribosomal RNA", at positions 524 to 776 of the family's 1533-position model. The record is from RNAcentral.
UACGUAGGGUGCGAGCGUUGUCCGGAAUUAUUGGGCGUAAAGAGCUUGUAGGCGGUCUAUCGCGUCUGCUGUGAAAAUCCGGGGCUCAACCCCGGACUUGCAGUGGGUACGGGCAGACUAGAGUGUGGUAGGGGAGACUGGAAUUCCUGGUGUAGCGGUGAAAUGCGCAGAUAUCAGGAAGAACACCCGUGGCGAAGGCGGUUCUCUGGGACGGUACUGACGCUGAGACGCGAAAGCGUGGGGAGCGAACAGG